Molecule: ribosomal RNA, 468 nt
Filed under: uncultured bacterium
Lineage: Bacteria
Description: partial 16S ribosomal RNA
Rfam family: Bacterial small subunit ribosomal RNA
Source: RNAcentral
GACGAACGCUGGCGGCGUGCUUAACACAUGCAAGUCGAACGGAAAGGCCCUGCUUUUGUGGGGUGCUCGAGUGGCGAACGGGGGAGUAACACGUGAGUAACCUGCCCUUGACUUUGGGAGAACUUCACGAAACUGGGGCUAAUAUCGGGUAGGAGCUCCUGCUGCACGGGGGGGGUUGGAAAGAUUCGGCGUUGGUGGAUGGACUCGCUGCUUAUGAGCUUGAUGGUGAGGUAGGGGCGUACCAAGGCUUUGACGGGUAGGCGGCCUGGGAGGGUCAACGGGCACAAUGCGACUGCGAUACGGAGCAGUAUCCUACGGGACGCAGUAGUGGGGAGUCUGACACAACGGCCCGAAGCCUGAUGCAGAAACGUCGCGUGCGGGAUGCCGGCUUUCUGGUUGUAAACAAAUUUCGACUGUGACGAAGCGUGAGUGACGGUAAUGGGUAAAGAAGCACCGGCUAACUACGUG